This 342-nucleotide ribosomal RNA is filed under the name Lepadogaster lepadogaster (shore clingfish). Its description in RNAcentral is "partial 12S ribosomal RNA". It matches the Rfam family "Bacterial small subunit ribosomal RNA", at positions 804 to 1349 of the family's 1533-position model. The record is from RNAcentral. Lineage: Eukaryota; Metazoa; Chordata; Actinopteri; Blenniiformes; Gobiesocidae.
AAACAAUGACAUCUACUUACAAAAGUUGUCCGCCCGGGAACUACAAGCAUAAGCUUAAAACCCAAAGGACUUGGCGGUGCUUAAGAUCCCCCUAGAGGAGCCUGUUCUAGAACCGAUGAUCCCCGUUUAACCUCACCCCCCCUUGCCAAUUCCGUCUAUAUACCUCCGUCGUCAGCUCACCCCGUGAGGGUGCUAAAGUGAGCAUAAUUGGUACAACCCAAAACGUCAGGUCGAGGUGUAGCCUACGGGAGGGGAAGAAAUGGGCUACAUUCUCUCCCAGAGAGUACACGAAAGAUGAACUGAAAACCACAUCAGAAGGAGGAUUUAGUAGUAAGGGGAGAA